Nelumbo nucifera (sacred lotus) is the source of this 4096-nucleotide non-coding RNA. The record is from RefSeq and is a predicted model, not a curated record. Lineage: Eukaryota; Viridiplantae; Streptophyta; Magnoliopsida; Proteales; Nelumbonaceae.
CCUGACUAGGUGUGAAUGGGGUGAUCGGAUGCUUCAAAUUUUCUUUUUUAUUUUUAUUUUUUUUUCAGAGAAAGAAGUGGGCAUUCGUGAUCAUACAGAUCUGUUGCUACAAACGAACUUGAAGGUGCAAAUUUUAACAAAUAAAAAAGUGGGUCUUGUUUUUUUCGGUACUUCUAGCCAAAACCACUGGAGGUCUUGACUUGAGAGGGAGACUAGAGAAGCGUCAUCAAUUGAUCACUUGUAGAGUGUUACAGAGUUCGAAUAUAACGGUACCCAGAGCAAUUUUCCGGUAAGAGAAAGAAGAUAAAUGGCAGAGUGCUGUAAGCUUUCUACUAAACAAGCUUACGCCCUAGAUAGAGGAAGAAGUGCAGUUAUUGAAGAAAGUGCAUAAAGAAGUCGAAGACAUCAGAGAUGAAUUAGAAAGCAUGAGAGCCCUUCUGAGAGAUGCCGAUGCAAGGGUCGAAGCCGAUGCAAGUGUAAAAGCAUGGGUGAACCAAGUGAGGGAUGUGGCUUAUGACAUGGAAGAUGUUCUUGAUGAUUUCAUGCUUCAGUUUGCACAACGAAGACGACAUCAGUCGAACAGAUUCAUUGGCUGUCUUCACAAAAUCAUGCACUCCCUCCAUAACUUGAAAUCUCGUCAUUCUCUAGCCACUCAGAUACAGCAGAUUAAAUCGAGAGUAUAUGAAGUAUCAAAUAGAAGAGAUCGAUAUGGAUUCAGAAACCAAGAACAAGCCUCAAGUUCAGAUUCUUCGGUGCGGACUGGCAUGAUAUUCGAACAGACGCCCUUCUCCUGGAGGAAGCUGAGCUAGUGGGGAUUGACAAACCCAAGCAAGAAGUCAUUGGAUGGCUUGUGGAGGGUCAAUCAAGCGUUGGAGUAAUUUCAGUGGUUGGUAUGGGUGGCUUAGGCAAGACAACUCUGGUGAAGAAAGUGUACGAGGAUCAAAGGGUGAAGAGACACUACCAAUCUCAUGCAUGGAUUACUUUUUCAGAAUCACCUAGGAUUCAUGAGUUGUUAAUAGAUAUGAUAAAGCAGUUGUAUGAGCAAAAGCAACCAAUUCCUCAAGGAGUUGGGGAAAUGAAAGAGGCCAGACUGAAGCAGCUACUCCAAGAAUUUCUUAAGCAAAAUAGGAAUGUGAUUGUUCUUGAUGACAUAUGAAGCAUACAAGCAUGGGAAUCUGUUAAAAAUGUUUUCCCCAGUAACAAAUGUGGAAGUAGAAUAAUGAUUACAACUCGUUCUAAUGAUAUAGCUUCAUCAUGCAUAAAAAUCUCAUUUUCAAGUCUAUAACCUUCAGCCAUUGUCUCAACAAGAGUCCUGGACUUUGUUUUGUAAGAAAGCUUUUUGCUCCUCCCCUGAGCAUGGUUGUCCUCCAGAAUUGGAGGAUCUCGCUCGAAGCAUUGUAAGAAAAUGUGGAGGACUACCGCUUGCAGUUGUGACAGUAGGUGGUGUUCUAUCAAAGCAGAAGACUACAAUAGAAUGGGAGAUGUUCAAUCGCAGCCUGGGUGGUGAGUUGCAAAGCGACAACAGACUUAGGAUUAUGAUGAAAAUACUAUCUUUAAGUUACAAUGAUUUGCCAUACCAUCUAAAAUAUUGUAUCUUGUGUUUGAGUAUGUUUCCUGAGGAUGAAUUGAUUGACAGAAUGAAACUAAUUUGGAUAUGGAUGGCUGAAGGAUUUAUCCAAAGAAAAGAAGGAAAGACCUUAGAAGAGGUUGGAGAGAGUUAUUUCUAUGAACUGGUUAAUAGGAGCCUCCUCCAAAUAGUAAAAACAGCAAUUGAUGAUGGACGAGUCCAAACAUGUUGAGUCCAUGACCUCAUUCAUGAGAUCAUUCUUUCGAAAUAAAAUGAGUAGAAUUUUGGAGCCAUAAUUAAUGCUGAAAAGCAGGAUGUAAUGGUUGAUAAUGAAAAAAUCAGGCAUCUAUCAAUUCAUGAUGGUUGUGAAAAAGUAGCACAAGAGAAGUGCUUCACUCACCUUCGUUCUUUAUUCAUGUUUAGGUGGGUACAUUUUCCAACAGAUUUAGUGGUGGUGAAUUCUUUUCUAGGCUUAAGCUGCUCAAGGUGUUGGAUUUGAGAAGUCUCCCAUUGGAGGAGUUUCCAGAGGAACUCACCAAUUUCUUCCAUUUAAGGUAUUUAAACUUGAGAAACACCAAAGUCAAAGAGAUUCCAGAUUCUAUCAAGAAGCUCCACUACCUUGAGACCUUGGAUCUUAAACAUACCUAUGUGUCUGAGUUGCCCGUUGGGAUCCUCAACCUCCAUAAGCUACGACAUCUUCUUGUUUACUGCUACAAAUAUGGACAUUCUUAUUUUACAUUUCAUCAGUCAGGGUUCAAGGCACCAAGUGGAAUUGGAGAUUUGGCAUCCCUACAAAAGCUUAGCUGCAUAGAAGCAAACAAUGACAUUGACCUGAUCAGAGGGCUCGGGAGAUUAGUCCAAUUGAAACGAUUGGGGAUUAGGAAGUUAAAAAGAGAAGAUGGAACACAUCUAUGUUCCUCCAUUGAGAAAAUGAUCCGCCUUCAAUUUCUAACUCUAGCUGCAAUAGAAGAGGGGGAGAUUCUUGACCUUGAAUCAUUAUCUUCACCGCCUCCUUUUCUUAGACAUUUAUUGUUGACAGGGCGGUUGGAGAAAUUACCACACUGGAUUCCCUUGUUGCAAAAUUUGUGCACUAUAGAUUUAAGGUGGACUAAAUUGAAGGAUGAUCCACUUGAAGCCCUGAAAGAUUUUCCUAACUUAGUGGUGCUUGCUCUUGUUGAUGCUUACCAAGGAGAACAAUUAUGUUUUCAGUCAGGUGGGUUUCACAAGCUUAAGUUUCUAUGCCUUAACAGUUUAGAAGGAUUGAGAAUGGUUAGUGUGGUGGGAGCACUGCCUCAUCUUGAAAAACUAGAGAUUGAAAAUUGUAGAUUUCUAGAGAAGGUGCCAUCAGGCAUUGAAAGCCUCACCAAGCUUAAACACCUUUCAUUUAUGAAUAUGCCUGAUAAAUUUGAGAGGAAGAUACAGUCUCAAGGCGAAGAUCAUUGGAAAGUUGCACAUGUUGCAUUGGUUCGUUUUUGGCAUUGGAUAGAAGGAAAAUGGGCGAUUUAUGAUUUAAAUGGUCCUGCAAGGUUUUCCUGAUCAAGCUAAUUUGAUUUGGAGUUUUCUCGAAGCAAUGUGAGAAAAUAUGAAGGACUACAACAUGCAAUUGUGACAGUUGGUGGUGUUCUUUCAACAAAGAAGAAGACCACAACAGAAUGGGAGAUGUUCAUAUUGCAGCCUGGGCGAACCUUGAGAUCAAGAAGAUAAAUGAUGAGAAAAGAUCAGCUCUUACUACACAAUUUGCAUCAGAAGCCACACUUUGGAGAGUCCAUGCUGCUCAAGAGGAUGAUGACUGCCUCCUAUUGAGGCCAUCAUCAUCCACUUGAGGCAGAGUUAAAACUUGCUAAGCUUGAGGUAUGUUUAAGUUUUAAUUAAUGUUAUACUGUUGGAAAUGACCACUAACAUAGUUUAUUGUAACAUGCAUAUUAAUAAUACUCAUGGUACACAUGCAUUUGGUUCUUAGUUGUGCUGGUGAAUGGACUCAAAUUAUUAACAUGGGCAUAAAAAAUUUGCCCAUUUGGGUACUGUAUUUUCUCUUUGUAUUAUUCUGUUUUAAUUUGUCAGGUUGCAAAGCUACAGGAUGAUAAUAAAGCAAUAAAUUAGAUUACUAAAUCAAAGGUAGCUGCUCUACUUGAUGCUGAGAGAACUGUACAGAAUUCCUUGGCAAAAGCAUCGUUGGUUGAAGAUCUUCAAAACAAGAACCAGGAGUUCAGGAAGCAGAUUGAAAAUUGCUAGGAGGAGAAUAAGAAUUUGAACAAUAUGCAAAGAAAAAGGUUACAGAGGUUAAAGCUAAGGCAAACCGUCUGUGAGCUGGAGGAGGCUGCUGCAAAUGCUGUGACACUACGAACAACAAGUGCAGGAGAUCAAAUAGAGGGAAACUCAUGAUCGGAAACUAGCUUGUGGGAAGGCUAUGCAAAUUGAGUUGCAAUUGUAGUUGCAAACGAAUGGAAAGAUGCCAAUUACAAAGUUAUGCCUGUAAAGCAGUGGCUUGAAGAGAGGAAAUUUUUCUAGGUAUAUUAUGGUUUACACUUU